CCUACGGGUGGCUGCAGUGGGGAUUAUUGGACAAUGGGGGGAACCCUGAUCCAGCCAUGCCGCGUGUGUGAAGAAGGCCCUCGGGUUGUAAAGCACUUUCAGUGAGGAAGAACGCCUGGUGGUUAAUACCCAUCAGGAAAGACAUCACUCACAGAAGAAGCACCGGCUAACUCCGUGCCAGCAGCCGCGGUAAUACGGAGGGUGCGAGCGUUAAUCGGAAUUACUGGGCGUAAAGCGCGCGUAGGUGGCUUGAUAAGCCGGUUGUGAAAGCCCCGGGCUCAACCUGGGAACGGCAUCCGGAACUGUCAAGCUAGAGUGCAGGAGAGGAAGGUAGAAUUCCCGGUGUAGCGGUGAAAUGCGUAGAGAUCGGGAGGAAUACCAGUGGCGAAGGCGGCCUUCUGGACUGACACUGACACUGAGGUGCGAAAGCGUGGGUAGCAAACAGGAUUAGAUACCCCGGUAGUC
This 465-nucleotide ribosomal RNA is filed under the name Vreelandella stevensii. Its description in RNAcentral is "partial 16S ribosomal RNA". It matches the Rfam family "Bacterial small subunit ribosomal RNA", at positions 338 to 795 of the family's 1533-position model. The record is from RNAcentral. Lineage: Bacteria; Pseudomonadati; Pseudomonadota; Gammaproteobacteria; Oceanospirillales; Halomonadaceae.